CCUACGGGAGGCAGCAGUGAGGAAUAUUGGUCAAUGGACGAGAGUCUGAACCAGCCAAGUAGCGUGAAGGAUGACUGCCCUAUGGGUUGUAAACUUCUUUUAUAUGGGAAUAAAACGUUCCACGUGUGGGAUUUUGUAUGUACCAUAUGAAUAAGGAUCGGCUAACUCCGUGCCAGCAGCCGCGGUAAUACGGAGGAUCCGAGCGUUAUCCGGAUUUAUUGGGUUUAAAGGGAGCGUAGGUGGAUUUUUAAGUCAGUUGUGAAAGUUUGCGGCUCAACCGUAAAAUUGCAGUUGAAACUGGCAGUCUUGAGUACAGUAGAGGUGGGCGGAAUUCGUGGUGUAGCGGUGAAAUGCUUAGAUAUCACGAAGAACUCCGAUUGCGAAGGCAGUUCACUGGACUGCAACUGACACUGAGGCUCGAAAGUGUGGGUAUCAAACAGGAUUAGAUACCCUUGUAGUC
Molecule: ribosomal RNA, 460 nt
Filed under: uncultured bacterium
Lineage: Bacteria
Description: partial 16S ribosomal RNA
Rfam family: Bacterial small subunit ribosomal RNA
Source: RNAcentral